Molecule: small nuclear RNA, 166 nt
Organism: Protopterus annectens (West African lungfish)
Lineage: Eukaryota; Metazoa; Chordata; Ceratodontiformes; Protopteridae
Product: U1 spliceosomal RNA
Exons: 1
Source: RefSeq, a predicted model, not a curated record
AUAAUUACCUGGCAAUGGGAAUACCAUGAACAAGACUGUGGUUUCCCCAUGGCGAAGCUCUUCCAUUCAACUCUUUGGAUGGGUUGACCACUGUGAUUCCUCCAAGUGUGGGAAAUUCAACUGCAUAAUUUAUGGUAGUGGGGAACUGCAUUCAUACAGUCCCCUA